GAUGCUACUGUCAUAAUUUUGCCUACUCAACAUCGAAAUAACAUGACGUCAUUUGUUUUUGUUUUGAUCUCCGACAACCGAAACAAAUUAAACAAGAUUGUCGCAAAAAAGUGUAUUUUAGAUUUUAGGAUGUAAAACAUAUUGCGAAGAAUAAAUACGUCAGGCAUUAAAAACUAACGACAUUCGUGCAUGGAAAAUGUUGGUUUCGCAACGCAGGUUUCCAGAAAGCUGGAUAGAACGCCCGUUAUUGCGGUUACUGCAUGCCGAUUCCUGCCGAUACUAUAAUGAACAGAUUGUUUGGAUCUGCCAUCAGAAUGCAAAAAUAUGUCCAAGACGUUUCUACGGCAGUGAUUUCGUGUUGGCCAAAGAGGAAAGGAAUCUGAUACCUACCACGGCAAUUUUUGGGCUGAUGCAAACUCCUUGCAUUGCAACGCAAGAUGUUUUCUAAGGUUGUUUCACUAGACAGUUAGUUCAAUCAAUUAAAAAAAAAAACAAUUAAUGUGAUCUUUUUGUUUGAGAAAUAAAAUAUGUAUGUUACCAAAGA
Long non-coding RNA from Armigeres subalbatus, 544 nucleotides. RefSeq lists it as uncharacterized. The record is from RefSeq and is a predicted model, not a curated record. Lineage: Eukaryota; Metazoa; Arthropoda; Insecta; Diptera; Culicidae. The transcript is spliced from 2 exons.